GACGAACGCUGGCGGCGUGCUUAACACGUGCAAGUCGAACGAUGAAGAAAAGAAUCGAAGCUUCGGCAGAAAUUCAUUUCGGAUUAGUGGCAGACGGGUGAGUAACGCGUGAGCAACCUACCUCUUACAAAGGGAUAGCCUCGGGAAACCGGGAUUAAUACCAUAUAACAUUGCGACGAAGCAUUUCGAUGCAAUCAAAGCUACGGCGGUAAGAGAUGGGCUCGCGUCCCAUUAACCGGAUGGUGAGGUAACGGCUCACCAUAGUGACGAUGGGUAACCGGCCUGAGAGGGUGCACGGUCACACUGGAACUGAGACACGGUCCAGACUCCUACGGGAGGCAGCAGUGGGGAAUAUUGCACAAUGGAGGGAACUCUGAUGCAGCGACGCCGCGUGAGUGAUGAAGGAAUUCGUUUCGUAAAACUCUGUUCUAUGGGAAGAAAAGGACUGUACCAUAGGAGAAAGCUCCGGCUAAAUACGUG
RNAcentral lists this ribosomal RNA (480 nucleotides) under uncultured bacterium. Its description in RNAcentral is "partial 16S ribosomal RNA". It matches the Rfam family "Bacterial small subunit ribosomal RNA", at positions 28 to 507 of the family's 1533-position model. The record is from RNAcentral.